GGAUUGUGGCUCAGUGGUAGAGCACUUGCCUAGCAUGUGUGAGGCCCUGAGUUCUACCCUUAGCACCA
This 68-nucleotide transfer RNA is filed under the name Marmota monax (woodchuck). Its description in RNAcentral is "tRNA.Ala". Lineage: Eukaryota; Metazoa; Chordata; Mammalia; Rodentia; Sciuridae. The record is from RNAcentral.